GACGAACGCUGGCGGCGUGCUUAACACAUGCAAGUCGAACGGAAAGGCCCUGCUUUUGUGGGGUGCUCGAGUGGCGAACGGGUGAGUAACACGUGAGUAACCUGCCCUUGACUUUGGGAUAACUUCAGGAAACUGGGGCUAAUACCGGAUAGGAGCUCCUGCUGCAUGGUGGGGGUUGGAAAGUUUCGGCGGUUGGGGAUGGACUCGCGGCUUAUCAGCUUGUUGGUGGGGUAGUGGCUUACCAAGGCUUUGACGGGUAGCCGGCCUGAGAGGGUGACCGGCCACAUUGGGACGGAGAUACGGCCCAGACUCCUACGGGAGGCAGCAGUGGGGAAUAUUGCACAAUGGGCGGAAGCCUGAUGCAGCAACGCCGCGUGCGGGAUGACGGCCUUCGGGUUGUAAACCGCUUUCGCCUGUGACGAAGCGUGAGUGACGGUAAUGGGUAAAGCAGCACCGGCUAACUACGUG
This 468-nucleotide ribosomal RNA is filed under the name uncultured bacterium. Its description in RNAcentral is "partial 16S ribosomal RNA". It matches the Rfam family "Bacterial small subunit ribosomal RNA", at positions 28 to 507 of the family's 1533-position model. The record is from RNAcentral.